RNAcentral lists this ribosomal RNA (468 nucleotides) under uncultured bacterium. Its description in RNAcentral is "partial 16S ribosomal RNA". It matches the Rfam family "Bacterial small subunit ribosomal RNA", at positions 28 to 507 of the family's 1533-position model. The record is from RNAcentral.
GACGAACGCUGGCGGCGUGCUUAACACAUGCAAGUCGAACGGUGAAGCUCCAGCUUGCUGGAGUGGAUCAGUGGCGAACGGGUGAGUAACACGUGAGCAACCUGCCCCAGACUCUGGAAUAAGCGCUGGAAACGGCGUCUAAUACUGGAUACGAGAUCAAGCCGCAUGGUUAUGGUCUGGAAAGUUUUUCGGUUUGGGAUGGGCUCGCGGCCUAUCAGCUUGUUGGUGAGGUAAUGGCUCACCAAGGCGACGACGGGUAGCCGGCCUGAGAGGGCGACCGGCCACACUGGGACUGAGACACGGCCCAGACUCCUACGGGAGGCAGCAGUGGGGAAUAUUGCACAAUGGGCGAAAGCCUGAUGCAGCGACGCCGCGUGAGGGAUGACGGCCUUCGGGUUGCAAACCUCUUUCAGCAGGGAAGAAGCGAAAGUGACGGUACCUGCAGAAGAAGCACCGGCUAACUACGUG